This 491-nucleotide ribosomal RNA is filed under the name uncultured bacterium. Its description in RNAcentral is "partial 16S ribosomal RNA". It matches the Rfam family "Bacterial small subunit ribosomal RNA", at positions 29 to 506 of the family's 1533-position model. The record is from RNAcentral.
AGUGAACGCUGGCGGUAGGCCUAACACAUGCAAGUCGAACGGCAGCACAGUAAGAGCUUGCUCUUACGGGUGGCGAGUGGCGGAAGGGUGAGGAAUACAUCGGAAUCUACUUUUUCGUGGGGGAUAACGUAGGGAAACUUACGCUAAUACCGCAUACGACCUACGGGUGAAAGCAGGGGAUCUUCGGACCUUGCGCGAUUGAAUGAGCCGAUGUCGGAUUAGCUAGUUGGCGGGGUAAAGGCCCACCAAGGCGACGAUCCGUAGCUGGUCUGAGAGGAUGGUCAGCCACACUGGAACUGAGACACGGUCCAGACUCCUACGGGAGGCAGCAGUGGGGAAUAUUGGACAAUGGGCGCAAGCCUGAUCCAGCCAUACCGCGUGGGUGAAGAAGGCCUUCGGGUUGUAAAGCCCUUUUGUUGGGAAAGAAAAGCAGCAGGUUAAGACCCCGCUGUUCUGACGGUACCCAAAGAAUAAGCACCGGCUAACUUCGU